This 13948-nucleotide long non-coding RNA is filed under the name Medicago truncatula (barrel medic). RNAcentral describes it as "long non-coding RNA (MTRU_LNC007739)". The record is from RNAcentral. Lineage: Eukaryota; Viridiplantae; Streptophyta; Magnoliopsida; Fabales; Fabaceae.
AAAAGGUGAAAGCUUUCAAUUUUAGACUGAACAUAACUCAAUAAAAAAACAAAACCCAGUUAAAUUGCUAAAAAAAAAUGAAUGACUUUUUUUGCUAACUAGAAAGUGACUGGCUAUACUCAGUCAUGUAAAGAGGAUCAUGAGUGGACCAAAAAAUAUGAGUCCAUAUUAGGGGUUACCUUAUAUUUGAAUAUGUUUUUUUUUCUUCCGUUUUUUUUUUUUGAAGCGGUACAUUUAAUGUCUUUUGAAGGAGGGUCCAGUUAAUUUUAUUAUCUUUUUUUGAAGGAAUUUUUUUAUCUUUUUAUCACUUAUAUAUUUAAUUUCAAUAUCGUUUAAUUAUCACAACCUCACAAAUAUUUUUAUUCACACUGUCAUUGAGUGACACCAAAUAUUUUUAUUCCCUUUCUUCAACCUUGCAAAUAUAUACACACAUUAGCGUUUAGAGUAAUACUUUAUGUUUGUCUGUCUGUUUUGUUACACUAAUGCGUAUAAUUUUUUUUAGUGUUGCAUAAUGCGUAUAAUUAUUUUUAUAAAAUUUUGAUUUUAAUUAAAAAUAUAAGUAUAGAUGCCUAAAAAAAUUAUAUUAUAUAUAUUUUGCACCUUUAUAUUGUAACAAACUAUGCAUAUCUUUUUCUUAUUAAAAAAAAACUAAACAUAUCUUUUUCAAUGACACUAACAAUGUAACAAAUAUAAUAUUAUAUAAUAUAAAUUCUUAUCUUUUUGAAUGACACCAAAAAUAUGGUAUUCUUAUAACAAAAUUUGUUAUAGAGUAUAAUUUGUUGGAACAAAAUGUGUUUAGCAAUAACACUUAAGAGUUUUGAUGAUAACAAAGUAUUAAAAAUUGUCAAUUGGAUAUGCUAAAAUUUGUUCAAGUGUACAGGACUAUAGACAAAAAUUUGACAUCUUAAAAAGGUCUUGGAAGAACAAAUAAAGAGCAAAUACAUCAACAAAAAGGGAAGCUUAAAGCGUCUGAAGAAAACUGCUCCUGAAGAUAAAGCGCUCCUGAACACAAAGUGCUCCUGAAGUGAUGACGUCAUCAGAAGCAAGUUUAUCAGAAGCUGAGAAUCACCAUAAGCUGUAGUUCAUCAGGAGAUGCAACUUAAAGCUUCAAAAGUUGUUUAAAGGAUUCAAACUCGUCUAAGGUUUGUAGAAGACUGAAAAAGUAUAGCAACGACUAUUUUGGAAGGAUUUGAAGGCUUUGUAUGCUUAUUCUUCAAAGAGUGUUGACAUAGUACGUUUGUACGAAGUGUACAACUACUAUCUCCACUACUCUGUUUUUGUCUCUGCUACAAGACAAGAAAAAUAACUCUGCAUGCAAUGAUGUUCCUUCUCAAUGGGAAUGUGUAACACCCUAUUUAAUUAUUUGAUUAUUUUAUUGAGUUUAGAGUCCAUUUUUAUGACUUAUGUGAUUUAUAUGAUUUUUGUGUGUUGUUGUUGUUUUAUUAAAGUGGCUUAUUUUAAUAUUUAAUAGAAUAAGAUUUGAAAAUAAAAUAAGAUUAAGUUGUGGGAGCUGUUUUGGAAUUUAGAAGAGUUUAGUUGAAUAAGUGGAAAUAAGAUAAAGAGGGUUGAGGAAAUAGGUCAGAAAAACAUUUCACGUGAAAACAAGCCUUUGGGGGAGAAAAAGGGAGAAGAGCCAAGUGAAGAACCGGAGAGAUCGUAGAGCUUCGUUCGUCAUAAUUAAGGUAAGAGUGGGACUAACCUUCAAUAAUUCUGAUUAUAUGAUUAUGAAAAUUGGAUUUAACAGGUGGUAGGUUGUAGUUCUGGAAAUUUGGGAAUUAGGUUUAGAAGUUGUAAUUGGUUGUUUUAAUUGUAGAAUUGAUUGUUGGAAUUAAGAUGUUAAUGAAGUUAGGGUUGUGAAAAGAAGUUAGAGUUUUGAAAAGAAGUUAGGGUUUUGAAUUGCAAUUUGAUUGUUGAAAGUGUAGGUAAUCCAAUGAAUUAACAUAUGAAUUGAUGUUCAGGUUGUAGAAUAACAAUAGGUGAUAUUUCUUAUCAAAUUUGGGAGUUUGUGUUUGAGUCCAGUGAAUUAAGAGUGAUUCUUAAGUGAAAAACGCAUUGUUAAACUGAUUUUUGAACUGCUGUGAAGCUCAAAAUCGGCCAUCGAUUUUCUGUCAGGCAAAUCCGGAAAAUAUUCGUAAUUUUCACCCUUCUCUGUUUUGAAUUUGCUUUCGGUGUAAACAUGAAAGUUUUAGAUAAUUUUGUUAGCUUUCCAAUGGCUUUGGUUUGACUUGAAAAUGAUUUUUAGUUUUUGAGAUAUGAUGAAAAUACUCCAAGGAGGUCUUAGUGAAAUCUUAUGAAAAUUCAGCAUAACCGUUUCCAAGUUAAUCCAAAACUUACGGGAUAAUUCCAAACCUCAAAACUAGAAGUAAUAUGAGUUCAAUUAAGGGGUUUAAGAGUAUUUAACCUAUGUUGUGAGUUGAUCUUGGGAUAGAAUGGAAGUUGUUAUUAGGUUAUAGACUUACAGAGAGCCUGAAUCAAAUGAUUAAUGAUUGUUAGUUAGUUUAAGAUAUUUAUAUUAUGAGGAAAAUGUAUGAUAUAGAAAAUAUCGUUGUUUAUAUCAUUCAAGUUGUUAUUAUUAAUAUCACUAUGUUGCAAGUUGCCUAUGUUGCUAUCUCUGCUGUUGUUGAUUAUUAAUAUCAUUAAGUUGACCAAGUUGUGGAGUAAGUCAUAGUUAUUUAUGCACAAUUGUUGUUGUCGUUGUCGUUGAUGUUGCUGAGUUGUAUGUUGAUAUACACAAAUUUUGAGUCCAUUGCAUGCUCAUAAAUUGUUGAGGGCUCAUGCCCUGUGAAUGCUUAAUCAUUCAAACUGUUGAGGGCUCAUGCCCUGUGAAUGCUAGUUCAUUCAAAUUGUUGAGGGCUUAUGCUCUGUGAAUGCUCGUUCAUUCAAACGCGUUAAAAUGGUACCACAUGCAUGUGCAUUGUCGCAUUUGUCGUUGUGUCGUUGCAUAGUCGUUGUUGUUGGUUGAGUUACUGUCGUCGUUGUUGGUUGAGUUGUUUUCGUUGUUGUUGGUUGAGUUUGUAGGUAUUGUUAAUGUUGAUGAAGUAUGAAACAAGACUGUUGAAUUAUCCGUUGUUAAUUAGGUUGUUAAAUACAGUUGAUGAUUUAUAUACCUAUUAUUAUUGAUUGUGAAUCUCACCCCUUCUGCUUGGAAAUGUUACCCUUCGUAUGGGUAACUUGCAGGUGAUCGAGAAUAGUUGCUCUCGUGAGUGGACCUUCUCUCACGUGUGUCUUAGGUGCUCUGAUACGUAACGGGAUGAGAAUUUGUUAUUGCUUUCUGUUCCUUACGUAAUGUUUUAUGAAGUUUUAAGGACAUGUUGUUUGUUGGAAUAAUUUUAUGAGAUUUAUGUUGAGGCCUUGGUGCCAAAGAUGUUUAAAUAUUGAAAUAAUUUCUGCUGCAAAGUAAUAAUUGAUAUGUUGUUGAAUUUGAAGGAUAAAUAGUUAUUUAUUCAGUUUAUGAUUUUAUGAAAAGUAAUGUGACAUUCCGUUUACGUUGAAAAUACUCUGAUUUAUAUGUGAUUAUAUGUAAAAAAUUUAAGUUGGGAAAACGGGGUGUUACAUAAUGCAUCUGAAAUUGAUCAUUCUUAGGACAAUAACCAUAUCAGGCAAAUGAUCAUUGGUGAUUGAUCAAAAGCUUCAAACGACUCUAUUUUGAAUAUGCUGGAAAUUCAACGUCUCUUUCAAACUUCUAUAUAAAGGAGUGAAGACUCAGAGUUUUAAUAGAACAAUACCAAGAAUUAACUGAGCCAAAACUCUGCUGAAAUUGUUCUGCAUUCAAAGUUCACUUAGAAUUUCUUAUCAAAGCUUAUAUCUUAGAAAUUCUAGAGUCUUUAGAGUCUGUAUCUGAUUUGUAUUGUGAACACCACUGAUUGUAUAUCAAGUGUUCAACCUCAAACAUUUUUCUUGUAAUUCUGUUUGAAUUAAGAAGUCUCUUGCAGUUGUGCUUGAGCAAUAGAAGUCUCUUGAUUGUGUUCAGGAGCAUAGGAAGUCUCUUGCAGUUGUGCUUGAGCAUUUGAAGUUUCUUACUAAGUUUAGUAGUGAGCAAUUGUAAUCAGAUAUUACAUAGUGAACUCUCCUUGGAAGUGCAAGGGGGACAGGACUGACUUCCGGUUUGUGGAAGGAACCUGUAUAAAUUGUUUGUGUCUUUCUUCUCUCUCUCUGUUUUAUCCGCUGCAAUUAGUUCUGAACAUCUCUUCAGAAGUAGAACUACAUCUGCUUCUGAUCUGUGUUUUCAGUUAGGAGAAAAAGAAGAAAAGGCCAACACAAUUCAACCCCCCUUCUUGUGUUUUGUUCUCACCUUCAUAAUUGGAAUAGAAAAAACCAACUAUUCUCCCUAAAAGAAACCAACUAUUCUCUAUAUACACACACACACAAAAUAAAUUAUACACAUUAUGCAACACUAAAAAAAAUUAUACGCAAUAGCGUAACAAAAGAACAGACAGACGAACAUAAAGUAUUACUGUAAACGCUAAUGUGUGUGUGUAUAUUUGCGAGGUUGAAGAAAGGGAAUAAAAAUAUUUGGUGUCAUUCAAUGACAGCGUGAUUAAAAAUAUUUGCGAGGUUAUGAUAAUUAAAUGAUAUUGAAAUUAAAUAUAUAAGUGGUAAAAAGAUAAUAAAAUUCCUUAAAAAAAUAAUAAAAUUAAAUGGACCCUCCUUCAAAAAAUAAAUUAAAUGGACUUGUUCAAAAAAAAUGGAAGGAAAAAACAUAUUGAAAUAUAAUAUUAAAAAAUAAAAUAAAAAGGUUCCCAACAUGACUUGAAGAGAGGUGCUUGUGAAAUAAAUUAUCGAGAAGUAGUUUUUUGAAGUAGCAUUCAACAACUUUUGAUAAAAGCUCAUUCCAUUCAAUUUUAUGCAUUCUAAAAAAGUACUUCUUUUAGAAGGUAUUUUAUUGAUAUUGUGUUUGACCUAACUUCUCCUUAAAAAUGUAGAGAAGCUGAAAAAAUGUCGGGUCAAACGGUACCUAAGUAAUCUUUUAGCACCGUAUCAUUCAAUUAGUUUUUUCUAUAAUUUUUUUCCAUAAACUAUUGACUUUUUUUUUGCAGAGCACACUCUAAAUAUAAAAUAUGGAACUCAAGAUUAAGAUCAUUAGAAUGUGAAGAAUGCCGAAUUUAAAGAAAUCGCAUAUAUUUAAUGAUGUGAUUUUUAUGGAUGAUAUAGUAUGCAUCAAAUAUUUUUCUUUGUGAACUUUUACUAACAUGAUUUCACAUUAACUUAAUUAUUUUUCUAUGCUAAUGUUUAUUUAAUUUUGUUGUUGAUGAUAUUCUAGCGGAUGAAAAAUCAAUGAACUGUGUGAAGCGGCAAUGUUACAAAUAUCAAUCUAUGUUAUUAUAAAAGAAAAAAAAUAUCAAUCUACGUUGAUUGAUGUAAUAUGUUAUGAGAUAAGAAAUAUCUUAAUUUCUAAUAACAACCAUAAAUUUAAACCAACUUCCUCUGAAUAUAGAAUAUUUUAUAAAAUUAUAAACAUCGAGAAGUCGUAUAAAAUUUUUUAAGGAGUUAAAUUAUAUGUAUUUUGUCUAUUUAUUCGUUAUACUUUUUUUUGGGUAACCAUGAUAUAGGUUCACAAAUUCCACCAUCGCUAAAGAUGACUAAUCUCCAUCAGGAAUCGGUAGGACAUAAAUGGUGGGUUCUUUCCAUUCAAUUGAUUUUUUUUUCUCAUACUCUUGAGCCACGAAACAAACUCAUGACCACAUGUUUAAAGAGACUCAUAAACUCUUGCCAUUUGGACUAAUUCAUUAUUGAUUUUUGGGUUAAUAAGUCUUUACCCCCUGUAAUAGAGGUCAUUUUCGGUUUUCUCCCCUGUAACUUUUUUUUUUUAUUUACCCCCAUGUGAAAUUUUUUGUUUUGAUUUACCCUCCUAAUAGGCCAAACAAAAACGAAAAAGUUCUUCAAAAAAAAAAUUAAAAUUGGUUUUUGUUUGGCCUAUUAGGGGGUAAAUCAAAACAAAAACAUUUUACAGGGGGUAAAUAAAAAAAAAUUACAGGGGGGAAAACCAUAAAUGACAUGUAUUACAGGGGGUAAAGACCUAUUAACCCUUGAUUUUUUUACACUUUUUAUUCUUGGAUAUGACAUUCAUGCCACCAUUUAUAUUUAUUUUUAAGAUAUAAUUGUUAAUUUAGAUUAAUUCAAUUAAAUAUACUUACAUAAUCUAUGAUAUUAUCAUCAUUUGUGCCCACAAACUUAUUUAAUAUCUAAUCCGGGCAACACCGAGCUCUAAACUAGUCACAUAUUACAAAUGUGUUAUAUGUCGAGUCUAGUUCCCUUUUUAAUAGGAAACGUGACUAUAAGUAGGGGUGUGCAAAGUUAUUGGUUAACUGAAACCAAAUCACCACCCAACCCAUAUUCAUAUUUCAAAAGUCCAAUCUAAUUAGUUAAAGACUAUUACUUUUUCCAUCCUUUUUCAUUCUCGCGCGUCCUGCACGCUUAAUCAAAAUACCAUCUAUCCGGAUUUACACAAUCCGAACACAUUUUAGAUUGUGAAAUCUGAAACUAAUCAAAACAUGUGCUGGGCUAUGUCUCCAUUGGAUCAUGACCAAUGGAAGAGUGUAAGAACUCCUGAAGUAUAUAAUCCAUACAAAAUAUACAUGUCCAGAUUAUACAAUCCAAAAGCCCUACUUUUUUUAUAAAAAAAAAAAAAAGCGGAAAAAGUAACGGGAUAUUCAUAUAAGGUUCACCCAGCACCUAGCUGCAGUUCACCACCUUUCUCUCCAAACACUCUAUAUACCUCUAGAAACACGCCAUUUUGGGCAAAAAUGUGAUUUAAAGCAGCAAUCUGGUCAUCAAGAUGCGUUAACAUCAUAAUUUCUAGGCGCUUUCCUUUUGAUCACGUCAACAAAUAUGUACUGGAGCUAUUCGGAUUGUGUAGUAUGAACAACACCAGUACAAAAAAUUUGUGCAUCUUAUGACCCUGCUAUGUCACUGUUUCAGUAAUGGAUGUUCAUGUUGAUGCCUCCAUUGACAAACCACCUGAUAUUGAACCUCAUACUGUGUUGCCGGUUGUUCCACUUUAAGUUCUAGAUGAUCCCAAAAAUGCCAAAGCCAAGGAUCCUCCCACCACCGCCACCACCACCAACAUGGAAACUUGAUAUUUCCUUAAGUGAUGCAAAAGUAGAUGAUACUCCUCCUCCUAUUGUUUGAAUUGAUCAUGGAGAAGAUUUUACCACCAAGCAAAAGUUUGUUACGCGGAAUGAUUUAUUGGAGUGGGUUCGAGAGAAAACAAGGAAGCUUGGAUUUACAACCGUCAUUGGUAAAUCCGAUAAAGGUGACAAUGGAAGAAGUGUUUUUGUUACCGUGAUAUGUGAAAGAGGAGUAUUGUUUAUUUUGAAAAGUACUACAAUACCCCUACAUCAUAUAACAUUUCCAACCAAAUUAAUUUAAUUCUUUUAUUUAAAUUCAUUUAAUUAAUUAACUAAUUAUUUCAAUUACUUAUUUUAAUUCAACAUAAUUGAUAAAAAAAAUUAAAAAUCAGCAGGAACAUACAUUUGGCACAUCGCAAAAUACCGUAUUAUAAAAAGUACAACAACAAAAAAAUUAUAGAUACCAAAAAUAUAGCUUACCCUUGAUGCAAAAAAAAUAAUAGCUUCUCCUAAAUUCACUUUCAAAUUAUAUAAAGUUGACGGUGGGAAAAAAAAAAUAAAAAUAACUAACAUCAUAAAAGACACAAAAUUAACUAAAUUGGACUAGGGGCAUAAAAAGAAUACACAAAAAUAUCACUAAUCUCCUUCACUUUCUUCUCGACUUUGGAGAGAAAGGAUUUUGUGGGGUCCACAUAUUUUUAGUCUCUCUUUUCUAUUUCUCUUUACUUCCAAACAGGAGAACUUCAAUUUCUCUCUUCCUUAACUCUCUCUUCUCUAUUUCUACUCUACCAAACACAGUGUAAAAGUUCAAAUAGUUAAAUACAUUUUUUGAAAUUAAAAAAAAAAAACAGAAAAACUUAACAAGCGAAAAAAAAUGUUAUUUUAUAAAAGUUUUUCAUUUAAUUUUUAUGAGUAUCAGUCUAUGUGACAUAGAUAUAAUUAGUGUUUUUUCUAUGAUGCGGUUUGGUUUGAUUUGAUUGGUAAAAUAAAAACUACAAACCAAACCAUGCGAUUGAAUAAAAAAAAAAAGAUCUGAAUACAUCAAAAUCAAAUGCAAUUUCGGUUUGGAUUGUUUUGGUUUGCAAUUUUUCUAUUGGGUUUAUUCGGUUUUGAACACCCCUAAUUAUACUAAAUAAGAGAUCCUAAACGCCUCUUUAACAUACAUGGUAUUUUUUUUGUUUGCAAAACGGGCAUCCUUCAUGCACAAUUGUAGAAAUUAAUGUCUCGAGUCUUGUAAGACUCAAACAUAUGACAAUUUUACCUAAAUUUUUUAACGUUGUUGCAUGUUUAAUGCUAAAUUCAAACUCAAUACAUUGGAUAAGAUAAAAUUGAACCGUAUCAUCUUAUAUAACGAUCUUAAAAAUACUCUAUAUUUAGUUAUGGGUAUUCAAAUGAAUUUCAUCGUAGUAUUGUUUUCUAUAAAUUUGCCUAUUUUUAACAAACACGCAUCAAAUGGCAUUUCAUUUGCAGUUAUUUCAGCAUUGAUAAACUUUUGCUAAUUUCUUUAGUACUGUAUAACAACUCAAAUCAAAUACACAUAUAUUAAAAUCUCAAAUUUUCCAAGAGUAAGACUUAAAUAACGACUAAACAUAUCAUUUUUGUUUUCUAGUACUAUGAUUUAGAAUAAGAUUGAGAUUUUAGAGUGAGAAUAUAUCGUAUAGCGUAUUAGUCCUGUCUUAGGAUAAAAAAAGGGAUCGACAAUUUUUUUUAUUCAAACCUUGACAAAAAAAAAUUAUUUAAACUUAAGAGCCCAACAAUUUGUUAACUUGGAAUAUGAGUCUUAAAAAACAAAAUUGUUUUGACUAAUAAAUAAAUUCUUUAAUUGUAUACGUUGUUCCACCGUAUUUAUUUUAAGGUCUUCUUUUAAGCAUCCCAAAUUUAGUAAUUAUUCUUUAAAAAGGUCAACUAUUACAAUUUUUAAUACAUUCAAUACACAACUUUUUAUUAAAACUUACCGAUUAAAGUACUUAAAGAGUGUCCCGGAAACACUCGUUAAUAUUUCCCUUUAUUUUAUUUAUCUGUCCCUUUAAUUAUGGUCUAUUUAUGAAAGAACUAGACACAAUUGAAACAUAAGUGAAACUUAUUAAUAAGACACACUUUAUUUUUUGAUGAAGUCAAACUACCCAUCAAAAUUAAUAUCGGAAAUAAUUAAACCUAAAAAUUUAAGAGAAAUUUUAAGAUUAUAAAGCACAUCAAUUAGAUCAAUAAGAUUCGGUGAUGUUUGGGGUUCAAACCUCAAACCUAACAUAUAUAAUAUGUAUUAUCCUUAUCAACUGAGUCAACCACUAAAAUGAAUCAUAAGUUUAUAUGUGUAAAUAGAUAAAUGAGAUAGAUGAAACAAAUUCAUCCCGGAUGACACGCUAAACAUGGUUGGGAGCUUCUCGAAUCGAUAUAGAUAGGAUAUAUCAUGUGUCGUCGAUCCUGAAGGAAUUUAAAAGACCAAUUCAAUUAAUAUAAUAAAUAGAAAGACCAAUUCAAUACAAAUGGUCAAUGGCGUCCAAGAGUUUUUGUAUUAAUUUGAAACUAUACAAAGUUCGUGUUAUAUAUGGCAGAUGAUUAAUUGGACAAUUAACUAACUCAAUCUUGUUCUCCGCACAUUACGCCUCAAUUUAACAACGUAUCUUUCAACCUUGGUGGCUAUCACCUAUAUACGUUUCACUACAUCAAUUCAGAAGAGGUGUGAACUUCAAAGGCAGCAUCAAUAAAAAGUGUGAGAUGUUUACACAUUUAAAUCAAAGUCGUAAAUCGAUACAAAAAAAAAAAAAACUAUAUAAAUCAAAUUUAUUGAAUAUGUUUAGAAGUUUUUUGUGAAAACCAUGUAACAUUAUAUCAAGUUCCCGCGAGUAUAUAUGAAAAAUGUAUUAUGAUAUGCGUUCGAACCCUAAAAAAAAAAAUAGUUCCCGCGAGUAUAUGUAGGGAUAAUGUAUUAUGAUAUGCGAUCAAACCCUAAAUACUCUAUUUAUUCAUCUUAAAAAGUGAAUUCAACCUACUAAACAAGUUGACAAAAAAAAAAGAUCAGAUAUAUAGGUAUUAAAUCGAAUUGAAUCAAACGGCUGAGUAAAAAAAAUUAAAAUAAAACUCAUGACAUAUAUAUUAAUGUAAAAAAGAUCAUGUUAUGAUAUCAUGUUUUUUAAGGAUAUUUUAACAUUUAUGUUAUAUGUUAAGCGUUGUAAAAGAUAGUUGAAGUCCUUUUUUAUAUAAAAAAUAUGUUAUGUGUUUUAAAAGAGAAUUUUUUUGACAAAAAAAAGAGCUGAAGUCUCCGUUUUAUAAAUGAGUUAUGUUUUAUAAAAGAAAGAAAGGAUUAAGUAACAAAAAAAAAAUGAUUAUUUUAAUAAUUAUGAAUUAUGCUUUUUUUUUUAUGCAAAAGAAAAUAAAAGAAUAAAUGAAAAUGGUUUUGGCAGGAGUUGAAUCUAGCACAUAAGACUUGGCAAAAAGGCUCUUGACCACUAGAGCAUGUUACACAAUCAUUAAAAUGUUACAAAACAUAAUAUAUAUAUAUAUAUAUAUAUAUAUAUAUAUGAAACAAAAUUGGGGGUGUGCCAUGGCCCAUCUUGGCCCAUGAGGGGCUCCACCUCUGCGACAAACACACCUAAAUAAAAGUACUAAUUAAAAUAUACUUGUCGCGUCAUUUUUUGGAGGUCAAGACUAUUUGAUUAGCUUUUGACUCACUAAUUUAUUUCACGACUGAACAUUUAAUUUUUUAAGAAAAAGGGGAAAAAGUUCAAAACACCUCAUAUUGAGAGAUUUAGGGUUCGGGGGUUGGUUAUAUUUAGGGAAGGUAUUAGCACCCUAAAUAUUCGUAGUACUCUACGAGAACCUCUUGAUUUUAUUUAAUUAAUGUGCUAUAAACUUGCUUGCUUUUCAAAAAAGAAGUUAAUGUGAUGAUUAAAAGAAGAAAGAAAGUGAGACCUAAUUUAUCUACAUUUUUUAUGAUUUGGAAGGACAUUGUCCUCUGCCUACGUACCCGUGAGGGAUCAAAACCUCAUAGUUCGGGGUAGAAAUUGACGUUUGAUUUGUUGAGUGUUUUUUAUUAGUUUUGAAAAAGGUUUUAAAAUGAAAAGCCAAGUGGCAAAUGAGUAUUUGUUUGUGUUUUUUAAUAUUGAAAAAAGAGACUUAAAGUAAAGUUAAAUUGAUUAAAGUUUGAUUAAGAAAAGAAAAUAAAAAUGCGGUCACUUGAUUUGGAUCAAGGUUUAUUAUGAAAAUAUUUUUGUGAUUUUGAUUAUUUGCAUGUUUUUUGUUGUUUUUUUGGAAUAUUAAAUAAAAAUUAAACUAACGGAGAAAUAAAAAUAAAAGCGCGUGGAUUUUUGUAGUGACGUUGGAUCACCACAAAAUCCCUAAUCUAAUUUUUUUGCAUUUUUGGAUAUAUAUAUAUAAGGCGGUAAAGAAAUAAAAGGACACACACACUUUUCUCAUUUAUAUUUACAUUGGACCUAAAUACAUUCUAAUUGCUGAAAAAUAAAUAACAAUAAUUAAAAUGCUAAAUAAAAUAAAAUGCAAAAAUGCUAAAAAGAAAUAAAAUGCAAGAAAAUAAAAGAAAUGGACAAUCGAAUGGACAAAAAUUACCGAAGGGACUUUUCCGAAGGGACAGAAAAAAAGAGGGAGAAGAAAAGAAUAGCUCGUUAACACAAGCUAAAGAGGGAGAAGAGAGAAAAGUUCUUUGACAACUCAAGAGAACUUUUGGUGUCUGAAAUUGUGUGGAAUGAGGGCUCUAUUUAUAGGUGAGGAGGUUGAUGAAAAAUGGAAAAUUGGUUUAAUGGAAAUAAUGGACAAUUAUGGUGAAUUUUGAAAAAAGAAUGUUAAAGUUGACACUUGACUUGAAAUUUUUUUUAGACCUUGUACAUUUUAUUUUGGACCUAUUGACACUUUGUUUUUUUUUUUGGACACUAAUUAAUUAAAAAGAAAUAAAAUAAAAAUAAAAUAACUAAUAAGAAAUAAAAUAAAAAACAAAUUAAACUAAAUUAUGUAAAGAAAAAUAAAAUUAAAAGAUGGAAAAUAAAAAUUAUUAAAUAUAAAAAAAAGUAACUAAUCUUAAAAUUAAAAUUAAUAAAAGAUGGAAAGAAAAUAAAAAGAGAAAAGAGGGUCCGACUCGGAAUAAAAAAUGAGGUAUUUUAAAAUACCUCCUUGCCGAAUUUUUUCACUGAAAAAUCAGAGAUCGAUCAGAGUCAAGUGACAUGUGUCAGUGAAGCCUUAGGUUAAAAAUUGGGAUAUGACAAUACUCAUAUUUCAAUUUUAACAGGAUCCUCUCAAAUAGACGGUGAGAUUGGACUCCUAAUUUAAUUUUUUUCAUCAUUUACUUAAAAUUAAGUUGUGUUUAAAUUUAUUUUGGUCUUUUAUUCUUGUAAUGUUAUACAAAUUUAUUUAUUUAUGUUUUCUAAUGUUAUACAAAUUUAUUUAUUAUUUUUUUAAAUGAGAGUUGAGGUGACCGUUAACAAUAUUAUGUGGUUUUGUCAUGUCAAAACAAUGCCAUUUUAUUCUAAAAUUAAUAAUUUGAGUUUUUUUUAAAGAAUAAUCUGAGUUGAUGGUUUAUCUUCUUUCUCAUAACAUCUUAAUGUAAACGAAAAACUUAGUUUUUAAUAAGAUGAGCUUUUAAAAUUCACAUGUCAUAAUUCAACCAGUAAAAUCGUCAAAAUUGAUAAAUAGACGUCGUGAUUGAGGUUCAAAUAUUAAACUCUUCAUUUAUAUAUAUAAAAUUCAAUGGUUAUUUAACAUUUUACCUAUCUUAAAAAACCAGUCUUUUGUAGGCCUAUGGGCAAUAAAUUAUACACGUUUCAUCCCUAGUUAAGACGAAUUCAAGCCAGCUCAUCAUCAACCCACAAGGCAGGGUUCAUAUGAACUUCAAAAAUCAAAAGUAUAGUUGACUGAUGGUGAGAAUUAAAUUGUCAGCUCUAUAUAAACAAAAUAAUAAUAAUUAAACUGUUAGCAAGGUUCAUGCCUUAAGAGUUUGAUCAUCAAUAUUUAUUUUAUUGAUUAAAGGAGAAAAUUCUCAAUACGUUUUUUUAUAUAAAAAAAUACUUUAUACUUGAAACAUAGCGUAUUAGAUAUUCAUAUUCUAGAAGGAAAACACUAUUUACAGCGUAAAGUUGUCUCACGAUAACACCACGAUCUGCACUGUAUUCAAGCCUAAUUCACGCACUCAUGUAUUUUGCCAACCACUCAUGCAUUGUGCCAAAACGCAGAUCUUAGGUGCUAGUGCUUUCGUGGGUUAUUCGUGAUUUGGCCUCACUACUAGAAUAGUGUUAAUUAUCUAUAAAUAAUAUAUGUGAUUAUUCGAGACUGAGAGAAUAUUAUCAAAAAUUUAAAAGUAGUUAUGAUUUAAGGUAAACUAUUUUAAUGAUUGAACGAUCUAUAAUGAUUCACGAUGUAAUUUUUUUUUUACAAUGAUAUUACAUAUGAAUUAAAUCCUAUUAUAAAACCGUCCCAUGAAUAUAUUCACAAACUUCAUAUAAUUUAGCCAAAUCUAACCUUUAAAAAUAAAAAAUCUAUCCUCUUUGAUGAAUAAAAAACCAAUCAAUUACCAUUGAUAUCUUAAGGGAUUCAUUAAUUAGACCCUUACACGCUUAGCCAAAUUUAAUUUGAUACUUCUAAGACUAAAGAGAUUGAAUGUUGAAAUUUCAUACUUCUUAUUACUUUUCUUCCCUACGAGUGAAUGCAAACAAUUUAAUCACCAACGUACAUAACACGGUUCUCAUAGUUUCCUUACCCAACUUUGUAUUUACAUACCCUCCAACACCUAUAUAAUGCUAUGAACCCAUCAACAUUUUCAACACAACCAAACCAACAACCUUAAAAAAACAAUCAAACAUGGCAUCCUUCAAACAAGUUUCAAUCCUGUUAUUCCCUCUUUUCCUCAUUUCCCUAUUCAAAUCCUCUCAUGCUGCAGG